AUGAACGCUGGCGGCGUGCCUAAUACAUGCCCGUCGAGCGAACAGAUGAGGAGCUUGCUCCUCUGACGUUAGCGGCGGACGGGUGAGUAACACGUGGAUAACCUACCUAUAAGACUGGGAUAACUUCGGGAAACCGGAGCUAAUACCGGAUAAUAUAUUGAACCGCAUGGUUCAAUAGUGAAAGACGGUUUUGCUGUCACUUAUAGAUGGAUCCGCGCCGCAUUAGCUAGUUGGUAAGGUAACGGCUUACCAAGGCAACGAUGCGUAGCCGACCUGAGAGGGUGAUCGGCCACACUGGAACUGAGACACGGUCCAGACUCCUACGGGAGGCAGCAGUAGGGAAUCUUCCGCAAUGGGCGAAAGCUUGACGGAGCAACGCCGCGUGAGUGAUGAAGGUCUUCGGAUCGUAAAACUCUGUUAUUAGGGAAGAACAAAUGUGUAAGUAACUAUGCACGUCUUGACGGUACCUAAUCAGAAAGCCACGGCUAACUACGUG
RNAcentral lists this ribosomal RNA (496 nucleotides) under uncultured bacterium. RNAcentral describes it as "partial 16S ribosomal RNA". It matches the Rfam family "Bacterial small subunit ribosomal RNA", at positions 29 to 507 of the family's 1533-position model. The record is from RNAcentral.